This 86-nucleotide non-coding RNA is filed under the name Alexandrium monilatum. The record is from RNAcentral. Lineage: Eukaryota; Dinophyceae; Gonyaulacales; Pyrocystaceae.
GGUGACGCGGAAGUUUGAGCUGCGCCUGAACUGGCCGGAGGAGGGGGAGAAGCCCGUGAGGCGGGUUCUACUCAACAGCGGCGACU